Long non-coding RNA from Eucalyptus grandis, 584 nucleotides. RefSeq lists it as uncharacterized. NCBI's taxonomy places the organism in Eukaryota, Viridiplantae, Streptophyta, Magnoliopsida, Myrtales, Myrtaceae. The record is from RefSeq and is a predicted model, not a curated record. The transcript has 2 exons.
UCACUGCUAGGGUUUCGGUGAUUAGGAUUGAGGACGCAUGGAUGGAUUUCGCGAAGUCGUCAGCAAGGAGCCCACUACUAUUUCGAACAACUCCGACUACCGAACCGGACAACGUGGAGCUGCACCAGACACUAUCAACAUUGAUUUUACAGGAGCCGAUUGUUGAACAGUAGGUUCGAGGAGGUCGCGUCUUCGAAGAUCAAUUGGAGGAUUGGCCAAUGAGCUUGGAAAAUCAUAACGUUGCUUGCUUUCCAAAUUUGCCAUAAAAUCUUAGCAAAAAAGGCUUUUGUUUGAAGAUCCAUCGCCGAGGUAAGCACAUCCAAGACCCAUUUGUCAAUAUGGGUUAUCUUCAUCGGGGAGGUGUCGACCUAUAGUCGCGAAUUUGACCAAAUUGCUUUUGUCCAAUUGCAUAACACAAACAGAUGCUUGACCAUUUCUGGGUUUUGUUGGCAAAUUGAACAUCUCAGAUCAAGUAUCAUCUUCUGCUUGAAUAGAUUUUCUUUGGUAGGGAGAGUGUUGUUACACAGACUCCAUACUAAGAAUUUGACUUUGGGACUGGUCUGGAGCUUCCAGAUUGUAUGCCA